Molecule: ribosomal RNA, 450 nt
Filed under: uncultured bacterium
Lineage: Bacteria
Description: partial 16S ribosomal RNA
Rfam family: Bacterial small subunit ribosomal RNA
Source: RNAcentral
GUGGGGAAUUUUGGACAAUGGGCGCAAGCCUGAUCCAGCAAUGCCGCGUGUAGGAAGAAGGCCUUCGGGUUGUAAACUGCUUUUGUACGGAACGAAACGGUCCUGGUUAAUACCUGGGGCUAAUGACGGUACCGUAAGAAUAAGCACCGGCUAACUACGUGCCAGCAGCCGCGGUAAUACGUAGGGUGCAAGCGUUAAUCGGAAUUACUGGGCGUAAAGCGUGCGCAGGCGGUUUUGUAAGACAGGCGUGAAAUCCCCGGGCUCAACCUGGGAAUUGCGCUUGUGACUGCAAGGCUGGAGUGCGGCAGAGGGGGAUGGAAUUCCGCGUGUAGCAGUGAAAUGCGUAGAUAUGCGGAGGAACACCGAUGGCGAAGGCAAUCCCCUGGGCCUGCACUGACGCUCAUGCACGAAAGCGUGGGGAGCAAACAGGAUUAGAUACCCUGGUAGUCC